RNAcentral lists this ribosomal RNA (253 nucleotides) under uncultured bacterium. RNAcentral describes it as "partial 16S ribosomal RNA". It matches the Rfam family "Bacterial small subunit ribosomal RNA", at positions 524 to 776 of the family's 1533-position model. The record is from RNAcentral.
UACGGAGGUGGCAAGCGUUACUCGGAAUCAUUGGGUGUAAAGGGCAAGUAGGCGGUCUAAUAAGUGAGGGGUGAAAUCCUGCGACUCAAUCGCAGAACUGCCUUUCAAACUGUUAGACUUGAGGUAAGAAGAGGAAAAUGGAAUUCUAGGUGUAAGGGUGAAAUCUGUAGAUAUCUAGAAGAACACCAACGGCGAAGGCAAUUUUCUACUCUUAUCCUGACGCUAAAUUGCGAAAGCUAGGGGAGCAAACAGA